AUUGAACGCUGGCGGCAUGCCUUACACAUGCAAGUCGAACGGCAGCACGGGUUCUUGCACCUGGUGGCGAGUGGCGAACGGGUGAGUAAUACAUCGGAACAUGUCCUGUAGUGGGGGAUAGCCCGGCGAAAGCCGGAUUAAUACCGCAUACGAUCUACGGAUGAAAGCGGGGGACCUUCGGGCCUCGCGCUAUAGGGUUGGCCGAUGGCUGAUUAGCUAGUUGGUGGGGUAAAGGCCUACCAAGGCGACGAUCAGUAGCUGGUCUGAGAGGACGACCAGCGACACUGGGACUGAGACACGGCCCAGACUCCUACGGGAGGCAGCAGUGGGGAAUUUUGGACAAUGGGCGAAAGCCUGAUCCAGCAAUGCCGCGUGUGUGAAGAAGGCCUUCGGGUUGUAAAGCACUUUUGUCCGGAAAGAAAGCCUUGGCCCUAAUACGGUCGGGGGAUGACGGUACCGGAAGAAUAAGCACCGGCUAACUACGUG
This 486-nucleotide ribosomal RNA is filed under the name uncultured bacterium. RNAcentral's name for it is "partial 16S ribosomal RNA". It matches the Rfam family "Bacterial small subunit ribosomal RNA", at positions 30 to 507 of the family's 1533-position model. The record is from RNAcentral.